This is a long non-coding RNA of Helianthus annuus (common sunflower), 338 nucleotides long. RefSeq lists it as uncharacterized. The transcript is spliced from 2 exons. The record is from RefSeq and is a predicted model, not a curated record. NCBI's taxonomy places the organism in Eukaryota, Viridiplantae, Streptophyta, Magnoliopsida, Asterales, Asteraceae.
UAUAAUAAAGACGUAUGUGAUUAGUAGACAUCAUAAUAUACGGUAAAGAAUAUGAAAGCAAUAAAAGCUAAGUAUAUGAAAUUAUGAUGUAUAGGAACAAAGAAAGAAAAAGGAACAAGGCUAUUCAAGGCACAAGAAACGUAAGACCCCGGUAAAUUUCAUGCUUAGAAUGGCGAGCUCGGAUUCGAACACACCACAUCAUCCAUAUAUGCACUUCCGGUUCAAGUUAUCUUUUGAAAUGGGUCAAAUAAUUUUUGUAAUGUAAAUGUAAAUUUUACGUUUUAGGAUGUUCGUAAGUAGUUUGAAUUUUAAAACCUUUUUUAGUAGUUCGGACAUAA